Pipistrellus kuhlii (Kuhl's pipistrelle) is the source of this 999-nucleotide long non-coding RNA. RefSeq lists it as uncharacterized. NCBI's taxonomy places the organism in Eukaryota, Metazoa, Chordata, Mammalia, Chiroptera, Vespertilionidae. The record is from RefSeq and is a predicted model, not a curated record. The transcript has 2 exons.
CCCAGAUAUCUGGUUAACCGCGAUUCCUGGGUAUGUCUAUGAGGGCGAUAUUGGAUAAGAUGAGCUCCUGAAUCAGUGGACUGAGUAAAGUAGCUGGCCCUCCCCGCAUGGCUGGACAUCACCCAACCUACUGAGGACCCAACAGAAUAAAGGUUAGAAGAAAGAGGAGGCACGUGUCCCUCUUUCCUCCGAGCCACUGCUUGAGCUGGGAUAUCUCAUUCAUCUUCCCCUGCCAGCAGCCUGGGAGUUACCUCCUCAGCUCUCCUGGUUCUCAAGCCUUCACAUGCUGAUUGGAUCGCACCCUGGACUUUCCCGGGUCUUCAACUUGCAGAUGGCAGACUGCAGGAAUUCUCAGUCUCCGUUAUUGCAAAAGCCAAUUCUUGAUAAUAUACCCUCUUUUCGAUCCCAUGGGUUCUGUUUCUCUGGAGAACCCAGGUGGGCUCAAGUUUCAAUCUCAUGAUGAAGCUCAAUUUCUCAGAUUUUUGACUUCUGAAGACUUCACUCUGAAGAAAAUUGGAUGUCUUCAGUUACAAUAAUUGAUUAAAAGAAAUUUCUGGGAACAGUAUACAGAUGAAAUGAUGCUAAAGAUGUAGGCAAAUUUAUGGGCAAAAGCCUCUUUAAUGUCCUCAGCCUACAUGAUUAAUAAUGUAGAACCAAAUUUAGGGGCACUCCACCCUGAAAGAAUUACAUUACCCAAUUCCUGUUAUGUUAUCCUGAAGUGUAAGCAGCAAACUCAUUAAAAAUUAAUGAGGUAAUCAGACAAAUUCUAUGACUAUGCGUGAGCUCCUCAUUAAUGUUUCACCAGACAGCAUUAAGAAAGACUAAAUAGACUGCACUGGAUUUAGAAGUAAUAAAUGGACUUCAAAAGCACAGCAGCUUAAUGACCUUCCAGUAAACACAGAGACUUGCAACAGAAAGGAUGAAGGAUUUUAGAUGCCCAUCAGCUAACUUCUUGGCUGCAACUACAAUGGAAAAAAAGUGAAAUAAAGUAUGAUCAAU